RNAcentral lists this transfer RNA (75 nucleotides) under Nocardiopsis dassonvillei. RNAcentral's name for it is "tRNA-Val(gac)". It matches the Rfam family "tRNA". Rfam says of the family: Transfer RNA (tRNA) molecules are approximately 80 nucleotides in length. Their secondary structure includes four short double-helical elements and three loops (D, anti-codon, and T loops). Further hydrogen bonds mediate the characteristic L-shaped molecular structure. tRNAs have two regions of fundamental functional importance: the anti-codon, which is responsible for specific mRNA codon recognition, and the 3' end, to which the tRNAs corresponding amino acid is attached (by aminoacyl-tRNA synthetases). tRNAs cope with the degeneracy of the genetic code in two manners: having more than one tRNA (with a specific anti-codon) for a particular amino acid; and 'wobble' base-pairing, i.e. permitting non-standard base-pairing at the 3rd anti-codon position. RNAcentral also lists the same sequence under 2 other names. Lineage: Bacteria; Bacillati; Actinomycetota; Actinomycetes; Streptosporangiales; Nocardiopsidaceae. The record is from RNAcentral.
GGGCGGUUAGCUCAGUUGGUUAGAGCGCUACCUUGACACGGUAGAGGUCACAGGUUCGAAUCCUGUAUCGCCCAC